This 468-nucleotide ribosomal RNA is filed under the name uncultured bacterium. Its description in RNAcentral is "partial 16S ribosomal RNA". It matches the Rfam family "Bacterial small subunit ribosomal RNA", at positions 28 to 507 of the family's 1533-position model. The record is from RNAcentral.
GACGAACGCUGGCGGCGUGCUUAACACAUGCAAGUCGAACGGAAAGGCCCUGCUUUUGUGGGGUGCUCGAGUGGCGAACGGGUGAGUAACACGUGAGUAACCUGCCCUUGACUUUGGGAUAACUUCAGGAAACUGGGGCUAAUACCGGAUAGGAGCUCCUGCUGCAUGGUGGGGGUUGGAAAGUUUCGGCGGUUGGGGAUGGACUCGCGGCUUAUCAGCUUGUUGGUGGGGUAGUGGCUUACCAAGGCUUUGACGGGUAGCCGGCCUGAGAGGGUGACCGGCCACAUUGGGACUGAGAGACGGCCCAGACUGCUACGGGAGGCAGCAGUGGGGAAUAUUGCACAAUGGGCGGAAGCCUGAUGCAGCAACGCCGCGUGCGGGAUGACGGCCUUCGGGUUGUAAACCGCUUUCGCCUGUGACGAAGCGUGAGUGACGGUAAUGGGUAAAGAAGCACCGGCUAACUACGUG